This 450-nucleotide ribosomal RNA is filed under the name uncultured bacterium. RNAcentral describes it as "partial 16S ribosomal RNA". It matches the Rfam family "Bacterial small subunit ribosomal RNA", at positions 354 to 796 of the family's 1533-position model. The record is from RNAcentral.
GUGGGGAAUAUUGGACAAUGGGCGAAAGCCUGAUCCAGCCAUGCCGCGUGUGUGAAGAAGGUCUUCGGAUUGUAAAGCACUUUAAGUUGGGAGGAAGGGCAGUAAGUUAAUACCUUGCUGUUUUGACGUUACCAACAGAAUAAGCACCGGCUAACUUCGUGCCAGCAGCCGCGGUAAUACGAAGGGUGCAAGCGUUAAUCGGAAUUACUGGGCGUAAAGCGCGCGUAGGUGGUUCAGCAAGUUGAAGGUGAAAUCCCCGGGCUCAACCUGGGAACUGCCUCCAAAACUACUGAGCUAGAGUACGGUAGAGGGUAGUGGAAUUUCCUGUGUAGCGGUGAAAUGCGUAGAUAUAGGAAGGAACACCAGUGGCGAAGGCGACCACCUGGACUGAUACUGACACUGAGGUGCGAAAGCGUGGGGAGCAAACAGGAUUAGAAACCCUGGUAGUCC